GAAACAUAGAGUCCUCUAGAGAGAGAGGGAGGGAUUCCAAUAAUUCAGGGAACUCUCCUCAAUGAGAAAGUAUGUUUAAGUUAAAUUUGUAAUGUUAGUUUUUCCAGGCAGAAGAAGCAGAGUGAAGAGAGGACAUUCCAAAUAAAAUGAAUGGUGAUCCACCCUACCACAUAUUGUCUCCUAAUGGCCGUCCAGUUUAUCCUGGAGCCCUUGCAUGACACAGGCCUAUCGAAGCAUAGGAGAUGCCAAUAUUUUACCUCUUGGGUACUUUCUGUGUAGAAGAUUCAUAACAAGAACAAUACUUAUUCUGCAAUUCUUUAUAUAAAGACUUAAUUCUGUGACCUGCGUUUGAUCCAGCCAUGUGGACUAUCACAAUCAAUAUUUUCCAGACUCUGCUCCAGACAAUGAGUAUAGCAUCUCCAUCAUCCCUCGAACUACCACU
This 442-nucleotide long non-coding RNA is filed under the name Homo sapiens (human). RNAcentral's name for it is "HSALNT0204031". The record is from RNAcentral. Lineage: Eukaryota; Metazoa; Chordata; Mammalia; Primates; Hominidae.